Long non-coding RNA from Alligator sinensis (Chinese alligator), 1366 nucleotides. RefSeq lists it as uncharacterized. The record is from RefSeq and is a predicted model, not a curated record. The transcript has 2 exons. NCBI's taxonomy places the organism in Eukaryota, Metazoa, Chordata, Crocodylia, Alligatoridae.
ACGUUGCAAGUUGAGGGCUGCCUGCACCGCCGCCGAUUUAAAACGGUGCCACCUCAAGCAUGGGCAGCCGGUGCCUCCCAAGUGUGGGGGCACCUGAUCACCGACGGGGAAGGGUCCCCCAGCGGCCGAUCGCCAAACCCAAAAUCACCAGUGGCAAAAACAGAAAUGCACGUCCACCAGCACUUCCAGCUUCAGGGCUGGCGUUUCCACAGGGUGCACGUGCACCCCCCACACGUCGCCAAUGAUCUUAAGCACCGCCACCCGUUUAAAACCGCACAACCUGACGUACCACCAGCAAACUUUUCAUCCCGCCACGUACGACUGACAGGUUGUGUCUGUACCACUGGGGGUACACGUGCCACAGAUUGGGAACCGCUGCUCUAAGGCACAGACAUGCCCCUGCCCGGGGCCUGGCUUCCUACCUCUCUGCUCAUCCGUGAAAGGAGCCCACAAAUGCUUUUGAAAGCGGUUGCAUCUUGGUGCUUGGAGAGCUCAGGGCUAGUUAUAAGAGGGGGGCAAAAGUUAGAGGGGAGCAAAGCUGUCAGUGAAAACCAGAGUGAAGUAGCGAGCCCUGUUAGUUGGCAGAGGCUAACUUGCCGUGACGAACAACUGAAGACCGCGCUCACGGUGCUCUCUGGCCAGCGCAGAAAUGUGCAGCGUAGUCCCUUCAAGGUCAUGGGUUUGGGAGUGAGAAAGAAGGCUGACGUCUUGCUCAGAGUACGCGCUCGUCCAUACGUGAAGUCGGCGACGCUCCUUAGCUGCACAGCAUUAUCCGUGCUGUGAUAUCGGCAACUUAUGGCUAAAGAACCACUGGAAAAACUCGGAUUUAAAGACCUAAUAGAUGAGAAACCAGAAGGGGAGCAUCAGAAGUUAAAGUGAAGACAAAAGACAACUCUCGCCGCCUCUUACGGAAAUUAUAACUAUUGUAGUACAUAUUGUACAUUUACGAAAUACUCUCUGAAGCAAAGAAAAAAACUCUGAAACUUUCCACUCUAAAGUAAGAUUUGUGAAAGAAGCAAAUUGUUAUCGUUAUCUCCUUUCGUUAACUUUCUCAAGAAACAUGUGACUAAUUGACUGACAUCAUCUUAAAGAGCCAUAAGAAUGAAUUUGCAUUUGGGAAAACAAUUGCCACUUAAGUAUUUGUCCUUUCUCAGUUAAAGAGGAGUAAAUCUUUGGAAUAAUAAUAAUAGCUCCCCUGUGCACACAAGGUGAGGUCUAUUUUCUGGGAUAAUUGUGUUACAAGAUUAAAAAAUGAGAAGUCUGUAUUUCCAUAGAUUACAAAUGCAUUUGUUCUUCCCUUCCUUAGCUCUCUGUAACUGAACAGUAAGACAUGAACAAUAAAAUUAAUGUUAUUGUUUAAAACUCA